This 10485-nucleotide long non-coding RNA is filed under the name Capsicum annuum. RNAcentral describes it as "long non-coding RNA (CANN_LNC013307)". The record is from RNAcentral. Lineage: Eukaryota; Viridiplantae; Streptophyta; Magnoliopsida; Solanales; Solanaceae.
AAAAAAAAAAAAAAGUAAAAUGAUGGGGGCUGUUGGGGAUGGGGGAAGGAGAGUGAGGAAAAUAGAUCGAGCAGCCAUGGGAACUAACCUCAAUUUAAAAAUAAGGGGGAGGGGGCACUGCAGUGGUGCUGGUGGGGCGCUCUAUUGUUGAUGGCCAUGGCAGCGUUGGUGCUGCUGGGUUAAUGGUGGUGGUGCUUCAAUGACCAUGGCAGCCGGUGGGGGUAGGAGGCAUUAAAAAUUGUCCCACACUCACACUUUAGACGUGUCCCGCACGUAUUUUAUCCUACUCAAUUAUUUUAAUGCCAUCUAAGUACGAUUAACGGUUAAAGAAUUUACAUAUGAGUUUUAUUGAGUUGAGAGUUCAGAUGACAAAUAUAUAAAUCAAGUUAUUUUGUCAAACGUAAGAGAAGAAAUGUAUGAUGAAGAACAAAGAGGGCCAUGCAUUUAUCGAUCAGAGACGGAUUUAAGAUUUAGAUUUCACUAGUCAAACAUUUAAAGAUUUUUAACAGUUCUGAUCUUAUUGUGCUUUUUAUAUAUGAGUUCCAAUUCUAAUAGUCAUUGAAACUUGAAACUUCAUUAUUUUUCACAUAUACGUUAGUUAGUGUAUGAAAAUACUGAAUUUCAUUAUUUUUCACAUAUACGUCAGUGAGAAAAUAUUGAAUUUAAUUGAAUCAAUAAGUUCGGUUGGAUCACCUAUGGCAUUGAUGAUCUUAACUAGGGAAGAUAUUUUUAAGAGGAAGAUAGGAAUUCUGUGAUGGAGAUGAGAAGCAACAUAAAAUUAAAUCAAUAGUUAUUAAAGCACAAAAAAGGAUACAGUAAUUAAUUCAUUUAUUCACAGAAUAUAUUUAAUUUUUGUGGGCACAAAAUUAAAAGAAGGCUAGUAAUUUGCAGUUGUAUUUAUGCUAAGUUGCUACUGUCAGAAACUUUUGUGGCUUAAAACAAAAAGAGGUAAUGUCCCAAAGAGAGAAUUUAAAGAGAGGACCAGCUUGCUAGCUACCUCAUUAUUAUUAUUAUUAUUAUUAUUGAACUGGUCCUUGGGUCAUAAAUAAGCUACUACUAUAUAUUAAUAUUAUAAGCAUAGCUAUCUCAGUAUUGGGUUUAUUAUAUCGUUCAAGAAUUCACAUAUGUUAUUCAUGCAUGCCAUGAUAGAUAUGCAUUACGUGUUUGCAUGGUUAUAUGCUAGUGAUUUACAAGUUCUUUUGUGUGUGUAUUUUAGUACUAUAGUAGGUUGGUAUUCGUAAUUCGUUCAUCUCAGAUAUUAUGUGUCGAUCAGUGUUUGAUUGGCACAAUGUCAGAGAAAAAAUUUCAUUUAUUUUUCUGAAAAAAAAAAACGGUGGUUUAGAAUUACGCAUAAAUAUUUAUGCGACUAAAAUCAUCUUAUUAAGGGUAAUUUGAGAAAUCUAAAGUAAAAUUAUAUUCACAUAAGAAAAUAGGACAUUAUUUUAAUUAAAGACAACUAAUUGGGACGGAGGAUUCUAAGUUGCAUGGUAUUAUUCAGGGAAGGACGUAGGACCUAUACUAAUUUUUUGAUGCUCUGACAUCAAUUAAACUCGACGAAGAAUAGAUAUAAUUACAUAAAAAAUAUAUGAAAAUAGAUAUAAAAUAUAUAAAAGCACCCAUUGAAACACAAAAUUAUUUGUGUGCACUGACAUUUAGAUUGAUCUUAAGGUUCUCCACUGGAAGGAAUGCCUCGUGUUCGAACCUCGAUGAGGUGAUUUUUUAUUUUUUCAUCUUUUUAAUUUUUUAAGCACUCACGAUCCUUAAUUCUGGGUGUAUUAUUAUAUUCUAGAGGGUGUGGCAAAUUAAAUCAGUCCAUUUUUUGGUAACUUGUCCAACCCAUAAAAGUUUAAUGAGUUGGGUCAUGACCCCUUUAUGUAAUUGAUUUGAUCUAUGAUUUGAAUCUGUAGUGACCCCCAUCAGAUUAUUGAGCUAAAAUGUGCCAAAUAGUGUAACUGUAACCUAACGAGUCAAAAUGGAACCCAUAUUUAAACAUACAAAAGUAAAUUUAAAAAUAGGUAAAUUUUGUGCUUUUUGCCUUAUCGAUAAUGUUAAAAGUAAUAUUUACGUAAUCAGGUCAUAUAUACAAUAAUUACAUGUAAAUUUCUAUGAUAAACAUUAAUUCACAUCAAUUGGAGGUUCAUAUUCAUCUCCGCAGCUGUUCUUUUUCCUCCAGCUAGAACCUCUUUCCAAAAUUUGUUUCAAAAUUGGAGCUUGUGGCAACUUGCUUGAUUUUCUGAUGGCCAUUAUUGAAUGUUUUAUUUAAGAAAUUUAAAGAGAGUUUAAGCUUUAAUUUGCUAUUAGAGAAAGAGAAAAAAUGAUGUGAUGUUUGGGACAGAGAAUUAUGUGAAGCUAUUUAUGGAGGAAUUCCCCAAUUUUUUUAAUUCACUUGCAAAGAAAGGGAGGAGUUUUCAAGGGAUUAGAAUAUGAAAUCUUGCGCUUAUACAAUUAAUUAAAACACUUAAUUCUUGUGAUGUAUAUAAUAUAGAGUAAUUUAUUUAUCAAACAAGUUGAAAUACAAUUAAUUAAUUUUGAUUAACAGUACCGGUCCUAGUCCUAGGCAAGCUUUGGGUAGUUCGUUAAUUAAUUUCUAGUUGAAGUACUUUAAAGAAUCACUAAGCAAUAGACAUAUUUUAAUUUAUGCUAUAGUUUUUCUAUAUUUUCAAUAUACACUACAAAAGAAACAAAAUUGAAAUUCGCUAUGAAUUUUGUUGUUAAAUUGCUCGAAGCUAACAAAAUAUUUUGAUAACUUACUGUUCAAUAAGAUUAGGAACAGAUUUUUAUUGUUUGAUUAUAAAAUUUGUUCGCUAAUUCCCAUUUUUUUUUUAGCAAUGAUAAUUGUUAUGCAUUCCUUAUUAUCUAUUUUAUUUCUGAAGAAGCCAACGUGUUUUUCUAAAAGAGACAAAUAAAUAUUAUUUGGAGUUUGCACAAGACUACUUGGGGUGCUAACAACUUGAUACUUUGAUUAUAUAUAUUUUAAUUAACCGAUGUGUUGUUCUUGCUGAACGGGAAGUACAGAGGAAAUAAGAUGUUUACGAAACGACAAAAAAUGUAAAUAAAUUGGUAAACAAAUUCAAAUAAACUAUCAUCUAUAAUAUCAAUUCAUCCUUGAAAGAGUAUAACGCCAUAUAUAAUAAAUUAUCAGUCAAUUAGCUAGCACUUUUUUUUAACGUAUGUAUACUUUUUCAAAUAGAAAAAAAGAGAGAUCGUUUUGGUGUACUAAAAUUUUCAUUAGGCAUGAAUCUGGAGAAGAAUCAAACCAUAAAAAUCUAUUAUCUGUAAUUUUAUAGUAUCUUUGCAAGUUACUACUUUUUCAAAUAGAAAAAUGAGUGUAAUACUCAAACAAAGUACCCAAUUGUUUUUUUUUUUUUUGCUUCACCAAGAUACCUACUUGUUUGUACUUGGAAUAUUAGGGAGAGUUUUCUGUACGUACGGAAUCAAAAUAUUAAAUUAGUAAUUGCAGUAUAUAAUGCCAUUAGAUAAACAGAUGACACGAAGUAUUUGUCCUUGUUUUGAUUAAAAAAGUGAAAAAAUUGUCCUAAUCAAAUACAAAUCGGUAAUGAAAGUAUUUAUUAACAUAUAAUGCAUCUGUAAUGUAGGUACUCGACAAAGUUCGGCCUCACAUGUAGGUAUUAAAAGGAUUGUAUUUGUAGACUAAACUAUUACAACUUCAAUUUAUAAAAUACGAAAAUUUUGAGUUAUUUUUGUUUAUGAUAAUUUUCAAAAAGUUCAGUAAAAAGUUAACAUGGGGAAUUUUCAUAAAUAAAAAUAAUCUUUCUGUUCAUUUUUACUUUGUUCAGUAUUGACUUAGCAUGCCAUUAAAUGUAAAAAUAUGUUAUCGACCUCUCCAUCCAUCUAUUGAUGAGGAAAUUAGAAUAAACUGGUCCGUCCAACACCUCAAUAAGGUCAAAUAAAGUAGACGAUAUCUAUUUUUUUAUAUAAUGGACAAGUAAAACAUAUAAUAUCUUUAUAACAAUACUAUUUGAACGCAUGAGAUCUUUGUAAAAUUAUUUUUUUCCAUUUCAAAUUGUAGGUGAGCAUCAUUUAUUUCUUGUCUACAUUUUUAUAGAUCAAUGUAGUAUUCUUGUGUCUGCACUCUUUAUCCCCCCUUUAACAUAGCACCUCGUUAUAGCUAUGGUAAUUUGGUAUUUCGGUUUAUUUUGAUUAAAUUUUUGGAAAACAUAAAACAUAAUAUGGACAAUGUAGAGGCUAGUAGAUCACAAAUCAGACCUAUUACACUAUGCCCAAUUUGGAUUUACUUAAAAAAGAAAAAGAAAAUAGAUUGAGACAAUUUGUAUAGAAAAUGGCAAAACAAAUAGAUUGAAAGACAUUCAAUUCACUUCUCUCACAGGGUGCUUAAAAACACCUCUGCAAGGAAAAUUUUCCAAGAUUUGCUCUUACAAAUCUGAUUCCCACCCAUAAAAAACACUACUAAUAAUAUAAUGUAGUAGUUCCUAGGUCAGGGGUUAGAGGAAAAUUACAAAAAAAAAAGAAAAAAAAAGAUGAGAGAAAAAAUUAAUUAAUGGAUGUUAGAAAAAAGAGAAGCAAAAUACACCAAAUUUUGCUUCAUCUUGAGCUAAUCCAUCCUUCUUAAUUCCCACUAAAAUCUUACAACUAAUAUUCACUCUUAUAAUUUCUCUAACGAAGCAUGGAAUAUAGUGACUGGAAAACAACUUCUUCACAUGGAAUAGUAAUUCCCAUGUCAUGGUCGAACCCAAAUUCCUCCUCAGCUUGUCUAAGGAGACAUUGAAACUCUGGAUGAGUCAAAAAUGAAAUAGGUACGAUGUAUCGAGUUCGAUUUUCUCCUACGUAAACUGCAAAAUGUCCUUUGGGCACGUCAACUGGAAGGUGUUCUUCGUCAUCAUAGGUGUUUUUUUUACCCAAACUCGAACACCUUUUCAAAAUUUGCUUCAAGAUUGCAGCUUGGGACUGCUUGUUUGGUUUUCUAAUGGCCAUUUUAGUGAUUUUCUUGAAGAAAUUUAAAGAAAGUUGAGAGCUUUAGGAAGAAGAAGGAUGUGGGGUUUGAAGUAGAAGAAUGUGAAGCUAUUUAUGGAGGAAGACCACAACUUUUUAAAUAUUUUUAGUGUAGUGUUCUUUUAUUUUCUUUCACUUUUACUCUUUUGCUUCAUGAAAUUAAUUUGACUAUUCUUUUGAAAUUAUAAUUUAACUAAUUUUUGAAAUUAAAUUAGAUUGAUUCAAUAUAUUUUUAAAUAUUAAAGUUACAUUUCGAAAUAAAAAAAUAGUUAUAAGUUACCAUUCUUCUGGUAUUGAAAUUUGGACAAACUUUUUAAAAAAAAUAAUUAUGUACUUUUUCUUUUACCACUUCUAACAACUCUCAUCUUUUUUUACUUUUCUGGUAACUUGAAUUUACAACUUUAAAACUAAAAGUGAGUGGUGCUUAUCAUCUAAAUAAUUUUAUAUUAUCAAAAUGUGACAAAUACAAGUGAAUUGAGGAAGUUUUUUUUUCUUAGGGGGGAGAGGGGAGGGGGGUGUAAAAGUAGUCAGUCAUGUGGGGUGUGAAGGGUCAAAGGACAGAACACGGGUGUUUUGGGGUAAGUGAAUUGAGGGGAGUUUGGACAAGAGUGGGGGCCAAAACCCAUUGGGUAUUAGGGUUCAAUGUUGCUUCUCAUUAUGGCAAAGAGGACCCCUUCUCAUUAAUUACCCAAACGUUACGACAUAAGUACUUACUAUUCAUAUUUGAAUAAAAGUAUAAAAUAUUUGAUUUAUUCAAACAUGGCUUUCACUGAUCUAGGAAGGUUACAAGUUUCAACAACAAAGGUAUUAAUGGUACUUGUUUCUAUUUCCAACAUUCUGUCUCAAUGCUUCUGCCUAGCUCGUUUUCAUUUUCAACCCAAUACGUACCUCUUCAGUCUGUUUAUGUACACUAAUUAUAUUUCAACUACUCUUUAAUGUCUCUGUACAUGAAGACUCAAUUAUAAGAUUAAAUAACAAUAUGAUAAAAUUUAAAAUUUUGACAAACUAAAAAAAAAUAAACUUAUAAAAUAUGUCAAUUUUUCAAUAUCUAUUAUUAAACAUCAAUUAAUAAUAUGAAAAGCAAUUAACUGAUGUAUAUACGGACAAUAUGAAAAGUAAUUAACUGAUGUAUAUACAUAAUGUUAUAAAUCGGGCAGAAAUAAAGCAAAUCACAAGCAGCAAGAGAACAAGAACACACAGAUUUACGUGAAAGUUCUUGCGGGAAAAGCCACGGGAAGAGGCAGAGGAAUUUCACUGUGAAAGGAAAGGAGUACAAUGUGGAGAGACGUAAUUUCUGAAUGCACAAAACAACCCAUUAAAAUGCACUUAUAUAAUAUGUGCAUACAAAUAAGUCCUACGCACAAAAACAUAAAGGCCCAUACCGCGGGGCUUCACCCCGCACCCCAUUGGGAUCAUUAGUGGGCUUCGGGAUCGGGCCUACGCUACCACCACAGACCCCAUUAAAAAUCACAGACAUAAGUCGCACCGCGAAACUUUCAAAACCAGACCAACAAAAUUUGAUUCACAACUUUUAACACAUAAUGUAAUACCACAAGAUACAAACCGAAAAGGUUUCUAUCGACAUUGAAAUGUCUACACCCAAAUUUACUCAACUUAAUAUGAUUAGGUGAUUUAUUGAAAUAAACAUAUACAUUAUCUAAUCACGAUUAAGUGAUAUAAUUGUAUACGCAAAAGUACAUAUGGUAUAAAUAUUGGGUGCCAGUAAUAGCAGUAUCUACCAGAGCUAAUGCAUGAUAUGUUAGAGAAGAUGAAGCAAAGAAAUCACGGACGAACAAUAAAGUGGUACUGAGAAGUACGAAAUACAUUUCGAACCUUACUUUUACGAACAGUGUUUGGUUUUUUUUGAAUGUUUGGCUUCUGCUUUUCUUUGAUUCUUUUUCUAUUCAGAUAGAAAGUUGAGCAGAAAGGCAUGUGCACUCGUCUCGUAAAGUACAAAUAAUAGACUCUUUGUUGCAGCUUUGACUAUUAGCCGUUACGUACAUCGUUAUUGACAGUUUCACCAUACCCUAGAGAUUUCUUUUGAUUUUUCCAUUCUAUUAUUAUAGUUUUGUUGAAGUGGACUUUUUGUAGUGAAAGGACCAUUUGGGUAAUGGGUAAAGUUGCGAUCAUUUCAUUAUAAGAUUAUGAGUUUAAGUCGUAAAAAAUUAAAAUAGUCUUAAUAUAUUAACUUUUAUGGAGCAAUUUUUUCUUGAAUCUCUACGUAGCAGGAGCUUUAGUACAUCGAACUGCACUUUAUAUAUACUUUUCUUUUCUCUUUUUAUCUAUUUCUCGAGAAUCUUUCUGUUCCUAGUUAAUCGAGAUUUUUCGUGUUAAUCUAUAUAUAUUUUAACCAACUCCAACUACCAAGGUAACUGAUUCUUUUGAAUUUGUGUGUAAAACCAACGUUGUUUGGAAAUUAUAUUUAAUUCAGCUUAUGUGAAGUGAAAUUUGCAUUAGUCUAAUAGAGACUUGAACUACUACAAAAUAAUUGUAAUGUUACUGCCCGACUGAAUUACUCUUUUGGUAGCUCCGUAGUUUGUUUUGUUAGAAGAAAUAUACAUGUUGCUCAUGUCCAAAAGACAACUCAGUGAUCAAGAGGUCAGUCCGGUACACUAAAAUUUUCAUUAUGCAUGAUAUUUGGAGAAGGAUCAUAUCAUAAUGGUCUGUUGUAUGCAUCCUGACCUUACGUAUUUGCUUGAGGCUAUUUUCACGACAUCAAUUUUAUUAGUUACUCCACCACUCCCCUUCAAUCAAUUAGGAGUUUCUUCUUAGAGGCCUCUCAUUUAGACGUAAACAGACGAGCAUAAAUGGACAAGCAUUUUAGCGGUGCAAGUUCCAACUUUUCACAUUAUGAAUUGAACUUUCUACAUUGCCUGAUUAACUGUAUAUUAUAUACAUAUCGGUUGUAUAUGUUUAAUUAAAUAUCAGUAUGUAUAUAUUAUAUAAAGUAUGUGUGUUUCUUGAUUUGUGUAUGUCAAUCCUUGCGUAGGAUAUAUUAGUGUAUAUAUUUUUAGGAUAAAGUAUACACUACUUAUACAUUUCGUACAUAUUAUGUAAACAAGAUGGUAAUUUUUCCUAUAUUAUUCUAUCCAUUAGUCACACGUCUCCUAAUUGGUGGAGUAUUCGCAUUGUUGAUGACAUAAAAAGUUCUUAUAAAAGGGCAAGCAUUUUUGAUGUGUAAGUUGAUGUGAAUAGAGGUUAUAUAUGUUAUUGUUAAACUUGAUUUAGAUUGGGAUUAUUUCUUUCAUCAAAGUGGUCCAAGACAGACAAUAUUGAGCCCCAUAUAAAUCCAAAACUCCAAUAUGAUCGCCACAGAAUUAAUUAAAAUUCUCUGAGAUUUGAAGUUUGGGGUGCACCAAUAUUGUCAAAGACGCGCAUAAGUUCUGAAUAAAAACUCAAAUUUGGGUUGAUCGCUCGCCUCAUUUAAUGUGCAGUUUAGGUUCUAAUUUAUAAUAUAUACUUUCCCUUGUCAAUGAGACUUUUCGGGAGAUACGAACACUAAACAAUUGAUAUUUCACUUAAUUAAAAAAAAUCAAUUUCUUUAUUCAUAUAUUUGUCAUUCAUGCUUAUAUUAUUAGUCUUGAACUAGACAUGUGUUUAUAUUUUUUCUCCUUUAUGCUUUUUUUGUUAAAUCUCACGCUUUAUUUGUACUUUGUGCUUAAAUAUAAUGGACCUAGAAGCUUUUUUUACCCUUUUCUGCUUUAGCUAAGGCGAUGAGAAUUGUCUUUAAAACUAAAAUUUGGUUGAGGAGAAUAAUAUCUAUCUAUUUCAAUUCACAAGAAUCAAUAACAAAUUUCUACAAAAUAAAAAAUUCAUCAAGAAUAUAAGUAAUAAUAAUUAUUUAUUUAUUUUUAAUCAAAUCCCAUGAACUUAAAUAGAAGCAAGAAAAAAGAAAUAAAUCUAUUUUACACACUAACUUUCAAGCAACAAGUAAAUAUUAGAAGCAAUUAACAUUACCCAAACUUGAAUAAAAAAUAAAAAAUAAAUGAAAGGCAGAAAUGUGUACCUAUUAGCAUCAAAUGGAAAAUUGCUCCUUUCUCUUUGUUUGGGUACUAUUAAUUUGUAAAUUAUAGUGUCGUCCAGGGAGUUUAGAAUUGGGGGAUUUGGGGAAAUACGAGUUGGAAAUUGAAAUUUGGGGGAAAAUAUGGAGCUUGGGAUUGGAAAAAGUCCCUUUUUAGUACAUAGUAAAUAGAUUAAUUAAGGAUGGAUGGGAUCAGAUGAGGUGACUGUCUAGCUGGUGUAGUGUCUAGGGAGUUUAGAAUUGGGGAAUUUGGAAAAAUACGGCUUGGGAUUGGGGAAAGCCCUUUUUUAGUAAAUAGUAAAUAUAUUAAUUAAGAAUGGAUGGGGUCAGAUGAGGUGACUGCCUAGCUGGUGGCAUUUAAAUGUAUAUAAAGAAGUAGAAUGAAUCGAACACGCACGUCAGGCCAAAAGGCCGUCAGCAUUUGAGUUCCAAACCAGUGCACCCACAUAAGUUUUAUUAUUAAGGGUGCACAGUUAAAUAUAUUAACAUUUUAGUAGAACAUAUAUACAUAUAUAUAUUAUUUUUUAAAAAAGUUACCGGAUGCACGUGAACCCUCGAAACACCACAUGGGUCCGCCCCUAGCAAGAAGGGACACUAACAUCUCUUUGCAUGUUCUAAGGCUGAGAUAGUGAUCCACGUACCCAUCUUCACUAAUUGACAUGAGCAAUUUUUUUCAUCACACCCCACCCACCGCAAUAACAAAAAAAAAAAACAAAAAAAACAGAGCAAUUUUAUUGUCAAACAAGAAAAAGCAGUUAAAAGAAUAUAAUGGCCUUUAACUGUUUUCACUUUACCCAUGUUCUCUUAUACUCUCUCGUCCCAAUUUUUAUAUGAUAUAGAUUGGAUUUGAAUUUAGUUAAACUUCUUUAUUUUGAUCGUGCAUUCAAAUUUUUUAAAAGUAAUUUAUAUAGUCCGAAAUUAUAUUAAGGGUACUAGAAUAAUUUUUUUUUUGUAAGCUUAUCUGAUGAGGAGCAACUCUCUUCCUUCUUCUUUCCUUUUAUUUUGAUAAUUUAGAGCAUAUGCCUCUCACUCCUUGUGUUGUAAUGUGGAUGUUAGGUUUUAGAACCUUUGAUUUUUUUAAAAAUAGAACUAGUAUAAGUUACAAAAAGUAAUAAUUUAAAAUAUUUAAAGAGCAUAUAAAUUGCUGGGAUUAAAGAUUUUCUUAUUUUUCUCGCGAAAUUUGAACUAUCUCAUAUAAAUUAAUAAGAUCGUAGAAGUACUAAAUUGUGCGUGGAGUUUUCACCGGAUGAAAAGAAGGAAAUGCACAUGCAAGAAAGAGAGUAGGAGGUGCAUGAAGUAAGUAAAUAAUGAGUGUGCAUGAAUGAAGAAAACUAAAAAAUACACUGCAGCACAUUGUAUGACAGUAUUACUAUUUGAGUUGUUAAACAACUUCUACUUUGAGAACAAUAUUUUGACAUGGUGUGAAAAUAGAUCCUUGCGGAAUUUGAACCUUCUCCGAAUCCGCACAUAGCAGGAGUUUUAGUGCACAAGUC